RNAcentral lists this ribosomal RNA (3537 nucleotides) under Triticum aestivum (bread wheat). RNAcentral's name for it is "partial small subunit ribosomal RNA". The record is from RNAcentral. Lineage: Eukaryota; Viridiplantae; Streptophyta; Magnoliopsida; Poales; Poaceae.
AUGUCUUCCGGGCAUGACUCCUCCGGGACGACGCUGAUGGAUCUCAUCACCUCGGAUCCGUCGGCCGCCCCGGCCGCCGGGGCGUCGUCGCAGCAGCCGUCCUCGGGCGGCGGCGGCUCGCUUGGGAGGCCUGCCCCGCCGCCGGCGCCGGCGCCAGCGGAUCGUAAGUCGAAGAGGGCGACCCUGAUGCAGAUCCAGAGCGACACCAUCUCAGCAGCCAAGGCGUUCAACCCCGUCAAGGCCCUCCCCCAGCGCAACCGGAAGAAGAAGCCCGUCUCGUACUCGCAGCUGGCGCGGAGCAUCCACGAGCUUGCGGCGACGUGCGACCAGAAAAAAUCCCAGAGGCAGCUCGUGAACAGUGUGUUCCCCAAGCUCGCGGUGUACAAUUCUGUGGAUCCUUCGGUGGCUCCAUCUCUUCUCAUGCUCCAUCAGCAAUGUGAGGACAGAAAUGUUCUGCGCUAUGUGUACUAUUAUCUUGCACGAAUUUUGUCAGAUAAUGGCUCCCAGGGUUUAAGUGCUGCUGGUGGAAUCCCCACACCAAAUUGGGAUGCUCUUGCGGACAUUGAUGUUGCUGGAGGAGUGACUCGGGCAGAUGUUGUGCCCAGAAUAGUUGAUCAGCUUUCAGCAGAAUCCACCAGCGACGAUGUUGAGUUUCAUGCGCGGAGACUUGCGGCUCUGAAGGCCCUAACCUCCUCUUCUACAAGCAGUUCCGAGAUGUUGGAGAAGCUUAGUGAGAUUGUGUUUGGCAUUUUGGAAAAGGUCGCAGAUACUAAACAAAAACGGAAGAAAGGGAUAUUUACCAAGCAAGGUGGCGAUAAGGAGUCUAUUUUACGAAGUAACUUGCAAUAUGCUUCUCUAAGUGCCCUGAGAAGACUUCCACUUGAUCCUGGUAAUCCAGCAUUUCUGCACCGAGCUGUCCAAGGGAUUGAAUUUUCUGACCCAGUUGCAGUGAGGCAUGCCUUGUCAAUAAUCUCAGAAAUUGCUGUUAGAGAUCCAUACUCUGUUGCAAUGGCGCUUGGCAAAAACGCACAACCUGGUGGCGCUCUUCAGGACAUCCUUCAUCUGCAUGAUGUUCUCGCAAGAGUUUACCUUGCAAAGUUGUGCCAUUCAAUAUCUAGGGCACGUGUAUUGGAUGAGAGGCCUGACAUAAAAUCACAGUACAGUUCUCUCCUUUAUCAACUCCUUUUGGAUCCAAGUGACAGGGUCUGUUUUGAGGCAAUACUCUGUGUUCUGGGAAAAGUUGACAACACAGAAAGCACUGAGGACAGAGCUGGCGGAUGGAUCCGGUUAACUAGAGAAAUUCUCAAAUUGCCUGAGGCCCCAUCUGUAGCAUCAAAGGGUCUUCUGUCAAAAGCUAGUGAAAAAUCUUCUAAAGCAAGGCGUCCUCAACCCCUCAUCAAACUUGUAAUGAGAAGGCUGGAGAGCUCUUUCCGUAGCUUUUCUCGCCCUGUUCUUCAUGCCGCUGCAAGAGUAGUCCAGGAAAUGGGUAAAAGCAGAGCAGCUGCUUACUCUUUGGGUGCUUAUGACGAGGGAGCCAAUCUUCAAGCUUAUUCAGAUAAUGUCGAAUCUCUUGAUUCUGAUGAGAACUCACAACCUGAAGCCACCCGGAAAGCUAAGCCACUGUCGAAUGGACAUGGUGGAAUGGACACAGUAGCAGGGUUAUUGGCAUCACUAAUGGAAGUAGUGCGGACAACUGUAGCAUGCGAGUGCGUAUAUGUUCGAGCAAUGGUCAUCAAAGCUUUGAUAUGGAUGCAAAAUCCACAUGAGUCCCUCGAUGAACUAAAAUCUAUAAUUGCGUGUGAGCUGUCUGACCCAGCCUGGCCUUCUUCUCUACUGAAUGAUGUCCUGCUAACCCUACAUGCUAGGUUCAAGGCAACCCCUGAUAUGGCUGUGACUCUGCUUGAGAUUGCUAGAAUUUUUGCUACUAAAGUUCCUGGAAAGAUUGAUGCUGACGUUCUACAACUGUUAUGGAAGACAUGCCUUGUGGGAGCAGGACCAGAUGGGAAACAUACAGCAUUGGAAGCUGUGACAAUUGUCCUUGAUCUGCCACCACCUCAGCCUGGUUCAAUGUCUGUCCUCACGUCUGUUGAUAUGAUAUCCGCCUCUGAUCCAAAAUCUGCAAUGGCACUGCAAAGAUUAGUCCAAGCUGCUGUUUGGUUUCUGGGAGAAAAUGCAAACUAUGCUGCAUCCGAGUAUGCAUGGGAAUCUGCGACGCCGCCUGGUACUGCUCUAAUGAUGCUUGAUGCUGAUAAAAUGGUUGCUGCAGCUAGCUCCCGUAACCCUACACUUGCUAGCGCUCUGACGCGGCUCCAAAGGUGUGCAUUUAGUGGCAGCUGGGAGAUCCGUAUAGCUGCUGUCCAGGCCCUAACUACCAUUGCAAUAAGGUCUGGUGAACCUUAUAGACUACAGAUAUAUGAGUUUCUUCAUGCUUUGAGUCUGGGGGGUGUGCAGUCAAACUUUUCGGAAUUGCAGCUAAGUAAUGGGGAAAACCAAGGUGCUAGUGGUACUGGUCUUGGGUCUUUGAUCAGCCCAAUGCUCAAGGUCUUGGAUGAGAUGUAUAAAGCUCAAGACGACCUUGCUAGGGACAUCCGUCAGCAUGAUAAUAGCAAACAAGAAUGGAGUGAUGAUGAACUCAAGAAACUUUAUGAAACCCAUGAGAGGCUUCUUGAUUUCGUUUGUUUAUUCUGUUUCGUUCCAAGGAUUAAGUACUUGCCUUUAGGCCCUACCAGUGCCAAGCUAAUUGAGAUCUACCGCAAUCGGCAUAACAUUAGUGCAUCGGUCGGUCUAAGUGACCCUGCUGUUGCUACUGGAAUAUCUGACCUGAUGUAUGAGUCGAAAGAAGUACAUAAAGAGACCAGUACUAUGCAAUCCGGAAUUGACCCUGAUCUAGCUAUGGCCUGGGCAGCAGGUUUGGAAGAUGAUGCCUGGGCAAACGAUGCCCCAGGUGUGGACAAAGUCAAGGAUUUCCUUUCUGGUGCUGGAACUGAUGCUCCUGAUGUGGAUGACGAGGAAUACAUGAAUUCUAGGCCAUCAGUCGGUUAUGAUGAUAUGUGGGCCAAGACAAUUCUUGAAGAGGAAGAUGAUGGGAGGUCUUCUGGUGGGUCCUCUCCUGACUCAACUGGUUCUGUGGAGACGUCCAUAUCAUCCCAUUUCGGUGGCAUGAACUACCCGUCUUUGUUUAGUUCAAAACCACCAAGUUAUGGGGCUUCACAACAAACGAUACGUGAAGAACCACCAUCAUAUUCAACAUCUGUCCUACAGAAGCGUGAGUCGUUUGACAACCCCCUCGCGGGGCGUGGGGGUCGAAGUUCUGGAUCUGGAUCCCACGAGGAUGUUGAGAAGAGUUCCGGGAACCCUCAAUCUGGGAAAGCAUUGUAUGACUUCACAGCAGGCGGUGAUGAUGAGCUGAGUUUAAACUCUGGAGAAGAUGUGGAUAUUGAAUAUGAGGUUGAUGGUUGGUACUAUGUGAAGAAAAAGAGACCAGGAAGGGAUGGGAAAAUGGCAGGUCUGGUCCCUGUUUUGUAUGUGAGCUCGUGA